RNAcentral lists this ribosomal RNA (658 nucleotides) under Cellulophaga sp. RHA_52. RNAcentral describes it as "bacterial SSU rRNA". It matches the Rfam family "Bacterial small subunit ribosomal RNA", at positions 246 to 904 of the family's 1533-position model. Lineage: Bacteria; Pseudomonadati; Bacteroidota; Flavobacteriia; Flavobacteriales; Flavobacteriaceae. The record is from RNAcentral.
UUGUUGGUAAGGUAACGGCUUACCAAGACUACGAUGGGUAGGGGCCCUGAGAGGGGGAUCCCCCACACUGGUACUGAGACACGGACCAGACUCCUACGGGAGGCAGCAGUGAGGAAUAUUGGACAAUGGAGGAGACUCUGAUCCAGCCAUGCCGCGUGCAGGAAGACGGUCCUAUGGAUUGUAAACUGCUUUUAUACAGGAAGAAUAAGGACUACGUGUAGUCUGGUGACGGUACUGUAAGAAUAAGGACCGGCUAACUCCGUGCCAGCAGCCGCGGUAAUACGGAGGGUCCGAGCGUUAUCCGGAAUUAUUGGGUUUAAAGGGUCCGUAGGCGGGCUGUUAAGUCAGGGGUGAAAGUUUGCAGCUCAACUGUAGAAUUGCCUUUGAUACUGAUGGUCUUGAAUUAUUGUGAAGUGGUUAGAAUAUGUAGUGUAGCGGUGAAAUGCAUAGAUAUUACAUAGAAUACCGAUUGCGAAGGCAGAUCACUAACAAUUGAUUGACGCUGAUGGACGAAAGCGUGGGUAGCGAACAGGAUUAGAUACCCUGGUAGUCCACGCCGUAAACGAUGGAUACUAGCUGUUUGGAUUUCGAUCUGAGCGGCCAAGCGAAAGUGAUAAGUAUCCCACCUGGGGAGUACGUUCGCAAGAAUGAAACUCAA